AUCCUACGGGGGGCAGCAGUGAGGAAUAUUGGUCAAUGGACGAGAGUCUGAACCAGCCAAGUCGCGUGAGGGAAGACUGCCCUAUGGGUUGUAAACCUCUUUUGUCAGGGAGCAACGCCGGCUACGUGUAGCCGGACUGAGAGUACCUGAAGAAAAAGCAUCGGCUAACUCCGUGCCAGCAGCCGCGGUAAUACGGAGGAUGCGAGCGUUACUCGGAAUUACUGGGCGUAAAGGGUGUGCAGGCGGCUGAGUAAGACAGAUGUGAAAUCCCCGGCCUU
RNAcentral lists this ribosomal RNA (278 nucleotides) under uncultured bacterium. Its description in RNAcentral is "partial 16S ribosomal RNA". It matches the Rfam family "Bacterial small subunit ribosomal RNA", at positions 335 to 610 of the family's 1533-position model. The record is from RNAcentral.